This is a long non-coding RNA of Xyrauchen texanus (razorback sucker), 232 nucleotides long. RefSeq lists it as uncharacterized. The record is from RefSeq and is a predicted model, not a curated record. Lineage: Eukaryota; Metazoa; Chordata; Actinopteri; Cypriniformes; Catostomidae. The transcript is spliced from 3 exons.
UUUUACUGAGCCCCGCAUUCCCAGUUCCACUUAGAAUUGAUCGACUCAGUAGACCAGCUUCAACAGCUUAACAGAAAGCUAACCAGCGAGGAAAAACGAAAACUCAUGACAGCUCAGAUGUCAAAAAUUGGUGGAGCUACCCUGCGGGAAAAUGUCAACAAUGUGAUGAAAAGAGUGCUCACAAAUAGCCUAAUGUCUAUAAUGAACAUGGAUGGGACUGGUGACAAGCUGC